RNAcentral lists this ribosomal RNA (253 nucleotides) under uncultured bacterium. RNAcentral describes it as "partial 16S ribosomal RNA". It matches the Rfam family "Bacterial small subunit ribosomal RNA", at positions 524 to 776 of the family's 1533-position model. The record is from RNAcentral.
GACGUAGGGCGCGAGCGUUGUCCGGAUUUAUUGGGCGUAAAGAGCUCGUAGGCGGUCUGUCGCGUCUGCUGUGAAAACUCAGGGCUUAACCCUGAGCUUGCAGUGGGUACGGGCAGACUAGAGUGCGGUAGGGGAGACUGGAAUUCCUGGUGUAGCGGUGAAAUGCGCAGAUAUCAGGAGGAACACCGGUGGCGAAGGCGGGUCUCUGGGCCAAUACUGACGCUGAGGAGCGAAAGCGUGGGGAGCGAACAGG